UGAAAAUAGACGGCAUAUAUAUACAAAUUACAAAGAGUUUAACAGCCGCUUACAAAAUAUCAAAAUUUUUCAGGUUUCUUAGAAAAGUUUCUCCGACUAUAGAGCCAACCUUAACAAAUACAGCAGGAUAGCCUAAUGGAGCUUCAACCCAAGCUUGACAACCUUGUUUUUGGAACCACUAGGAUCUCACUGCCUACCAAGAACUGCUCGUAACUUAAGCUUUGAACCCUCUCGUCGUUUGGGUAGUGAAGAAAUAGAUGACGGCAGACAGGUGAUCCCUUUUGAGCCGCUUCCUAUUUGUUUUGUGUACAACGAAGACAGCAAGAGGAUGGACUUUGACUUACCUCAUGAGUACGGAAAACUAUGGUGAAUGCAUUUAGCUCCAUCCAUCUCAAAAGCAACUCUUCAGUUCGACAGUACCUAAUAAAAGAUAUCGUAGCUACCAGGAGCUCGGGGAUCAUCAAGGAUCGUCACCACACUAUCGAACUAUAUUUUGGUACCUUUUGACAUUAUGAAUAUUAGAAUAUGACAUGUAUAGGCUAGAGGUAUUUGGAUAUGUUUUGUAAUGUAUAUAUCUAGCCAUGUGAUUUGGCUUGAUUAUGGUUGUGUACAUGAAUGAAUUUUUGGUAUAUGAUAUGUGAUA
Molecule: long non-coding RNA, 643 nt
Organism: Gossypium arboreum
Lineage: Eukaryota; Viridiplantae; Streptophyta; Magnoliopsida; Malvales; Malvaceae
Exons: 4
Source: RefSeq, a predicted model, not a curated record